RNAcentral lists this RNase P RNA (450 nucleotides) under Hymenobacter artigasi. RNAcentral's name for it is "RNase P RNA component class A". It matches the Rfam family "Bacterial RNase P class A". From Rfam's summary of the family: Ribonuclease P (RNase P) is a ubiquitous endoribonuclease, found in archaea, bacteria and eukarya as well as chloroplasts and mitochondria. Its best characterised activity is the generation of mature 5'-ends of tRNAs by cleaving the 5'-leader elements of precursor-tRNAs. Lineage: Bacteria; Pseudomonadati; Bacteroidota; Cytophagia; Cytophagales; Hymenobacteraceae. The record is from RNAcentral.
GUGAUGGGUCGCCUCACCGCGGCGCUUUCGGGCGACGAGGAAAGUCCGGGCAACACAGAGCACCUUGCUUCCUAACGGGAAGGACUGGCGCGCAUAACGCAAACCAGGACAGCGAGUGCCACAGAAAAGUACCGCCAGCGGUAAGUGAGUAAAAUAGCAAGUGAGUAAAUUACUCAUUUACCAACUUACCCAUUUACCACUGGUAAGGGUGAAAAGGUGCGGUAAGAGCGCACCAGCGGGCGGGUGACCGUUCCGGCUGGGUAAACCUCAGGGGUUGAAAGACCAAAUAAGCUGGUACGCCGGCGCGGCUUCGGCCGCAUCGGCUCCGGGCGGCUCGUCCGGCGCCAGCGGGUAGGUUGAUGGAGCCUUUCCGCGAGGACUGGCCUAGAUAAAUGGUGAGGCAGGGGCUUCGGCCCCGGACAAAACCCGGCUUACAGACCCAUCACCAAU